AACGCACCUUGCGCUCCUCGGUAUUCCGAGGAGCAUGCCUGUUUGAGUGUCGUGAAGUCUUAUCGAAAACGGGGGUUUCGCUCCCUUUUCGGACUUGGACGGUCUUGCCCUCUCGACCCUCUGGUGUCGAAAGGGGCUCGUCUUCAAAUUCAUCGGCGAGGUUCGCCCGUCCCCCCCCCCGAAGAGUUGACCUCGGAUCAGGUAGGAAUACCCGCUGAACUUAA
This 224-nucleotide unclassified non-coding RNA is filed under the name uncultured fungus. Its description in RNAcentral is "partial contains 5.8S ribosomal RNA, internal transcribed spacer 2, and large subunit ribosomal RNA". The stretch from base 1 to 52 matches the Rfam family "5.8S ribosomal RNA", at positions 103 to 154 of the family's 154-position model. The record is from RNAcentral. Lineage: Eukaryota; Fungi.